CCUACGGGAUGCCGCAGUGAGGAAUAUUGGUCAAUGGACGCAAGUCUGAACCAGCCAUGCCGCGUGCAGGAAGACGGCUCUAUGAGUUGUAAACGGCUUUUGUACGAGGGUAAACUCAGAUACGCGUAUCUGUCUGCAAGUAACGUACGAAUAAGGAUCGGCUAACUCCGUGCCAGCAGCCUCGGUAAUACGGAGGAUGCAAGCGUUAACCGGCUUUAUUGGGUUUAAAGGGUGCGUAGGCGGUCGGUUAAGUUAGAGGUGAAAUCCCGAGGCUCAACCUCGGAAUUGCCGCUGAUACUGUUCGGCUAGAGAGUAGUAGCGGUAGGCGGAAUGUAUGGUGUAGCGGUGAAAUGCUUAGAGAUCAUACAGAACACCGAUUGCGAAGGCAGCUUACCAAGCUACUUCUGACGUUGAGGCACGAAAGCGUGGGGAGCAAACAGGAUUAGAUACCCCUGUAGUC
Molecule: ribosomal RNA, 460 nt
Filed under: uncultured bacterium
Lineage: Bacteria
Description: partial 16S ribosomal RNA
Rfam family: Bacterial small subunit ribosomal RNA
Source: RNAcentral